UUAGUGGAGACACUUACCCGUCAGUUUGGCUGGAUCGGAGACAGGUGCUGCAUGGCUGUCGUCAGCUCGUGUCGUGAGAUGUUGGGUUAAAUCCCGCAACGAGCGCAACCCUCGCUCUUAGUUGCCAUCAUUCAGUUGGGCACUCUAAGGGGACUGCCGGUGAUAAGCUGGAGGAAGGUGGGGAUGACGUCAAGUCCUCAUGGCCCUUACGGGCUGGGCUACACACGUGCUACAAUGGUGGUGACAGUGGGCAGCGAGACCGCGAGGUUGAGCUAAUCUCCAAAAACCAUCUCAGUUCGGAUUGCACUCUGCAACUCGGGUGCAUGAAGUUGGAAUCGCUAGUAAUCGUGGAUCAGCAUGCCACGGUGAAUACGUUCCCGGGCCUUGUACACACCGCCCGUCACACCAUGGGAGUUGGCUUUACCCGAAGGUGCUGUGUUAACCGCAAGGAGGCA
RNAcentral lists this ribosomal RNA (455 nucleotides) under uncultured Hyphomicrobiales bacterium. RNAcentral's name for it is "bacterial SSU rRNA". It matches the Rfam family "Bacterial small subunit ribosomal RNA", at positions 997 to 1451 of the family's 1533-position model. Lineage: Bacteria; Pseudomonadati; Pseudomonadota; Alphaproteobacteria; Hyphomicrobiales. The record is from RNAcentral.